RNAcentral lists this long non-coding RNA (3937 nucleotides) under Canis lupus familiaris (dog). RNAcentral describes it as "lncRNA (ENSCAFG00845028601.1)". Lineage: Eukaryota; Metazoa; Chordata; Mammalia; Carnivora; Canidae. The record is from RNAcentral.
UUUUUUUUUCUUAUUGUUCAGUUUUAAAAUUUCUUUGAAUAUUUUGGAUACAAAUCCUUUAUCAGACAUGUAUUUUGCACAUAUUUUCUCCCAAUCUAUAUCUUGUCUUUUCAUUCUCUUAACAGUGUCUUUUCUGACUAGGAGUUUUUAAUUUUAGUAAAGUCCAGCUUAUCAAUUUUUUUCUUUCCCAAAUUAUGCUUUUACUGUUGUAUCUAGAAACUCAUAAUUUAUGGGACCCCUGGAUAACUCAAUGGUUGAACGCCUGCCUUCAGCUCAGGGUGUGAUCCCAGAGUCUGGGAUCCAGUGUCACAUUGGGCUCCCUGCAGACAGCCUGCUUCUCCCUUGCCUGUGUCUCUGCCUCUCUCUGUGUCUCUCAUGAAUAAAUAAAAUCUUUAAGAAAGACAGAAAGAAACUCAUCACCAAAUCCAAAGUUACCUAGAUUUUUCUCUUGUGUUUUCAUCCACAAAUUUUAUAAUUUUGCACUUUACACUAUGAUCCAUUUUAAUUUCACUAUGAUCCAUUUUAAUUUGGUUUUGACAAACUGUAUAAGGUCUGUGGAUAGAUUUAUUUUUUUGCAAACAGAAAUCCAAUUAUUCCUGUACCAUUUGUUGAAAAGACUACCUCCUUAGCUAUCUUGUAGAAUAUUACUCAGCCAUCAGAAAGGAUGAAUACCUACUAUUUAUACUGAGGUGGAUGGAGCUGGAUGGUAUUAUGCUAAGUGCAAUAAUCAGAAAAAGACAAUUAUCAUAUGAUUUCACUCAUAAGUGAAAUAUGAGAAAUACUGAAAGGGACCAUAAGGGAAAGAGGGGAACCUGAGUGGGGAAAAAUUAGAGGGGAAGACAAGUCAAAAGACUCUUAACUCUGGGGAACAAACAAUAGUUGCUGGAGGGGAGGUGGGGGGCGAUGGCGUAACUGGGGGUAGUAAGGAGGGCACAUGAUAUGAUGAGCACUGAGUGUUAUACUAUAUGUUAGCAAAUUGAAUUUAAAUAAAAAAAAAUUUUAGUGCCAUAAAGAAAGAGCUAUCCCUGAUAGAUGGCCAAUGAGGACACAGCUGUCCAUGUGGGAGCCAACUCAUGACUUGAACAACCCUAUGAAGCUAGUCUGUUCUUUGCUCUUUUUCCAGAGAGAAUUGCUGUAAAAAUACUUCAAGAAAACAGCAUUUACCUUUUCUUUUCUUUAAGAUCUCCAGAAUCUUCAAGAUAUAGCCUUUCUUGAUAGCAUGCAGUCUAAAGCUUCGCCUCUGCUACGUUGUGUGAGACACCUUAUCAGUUGUGUGGUCUUUAAUUUUAAGUGGUUGCACAUGACAUUUUCAAAAGGUGAAAAGAAAUAAAAUGUGACUCAUUAAAAACAGAAUUAUAUGUAUCCUUCAAAGUGAACAUGGGUAUAAAUUAAAAUAUUAUGUCUUUUAGCACUUCAUGACACUCAGAGCAAGUAAAACUUCAAAAGAGUCACAAGCCUUUGCCUAAUUAUAUUCAUCUAAUAAAGAACUAAAAAAUCAUUCUGAUGUUUAAAUAUCAGAUACCUGAAAUGUUUUAAUAGAUUUUAGUCAAUUCCAGAAUGGUACUUAUAUAUGAAAAAGAGAUUGAGUCUCCUUUUGAAGCAAAAUACAAUAAACAGAACAAAAAGAUUCUUUUAUACUGUUGUUUCAUUGAUGGCUUUUACACAGCCCACAAACUCUUUAUAAUGAACUAUCAAUAAAGUUCAGCUUCUAAAUGUCCCCGAGCAUGGAGAUGGAUGCUGACUUAUGGGGCCCUGAAAAAAAAAAAUUGAUCAGAUCUUGAGAUUCAAGGCAAGCUGUGUGGUAGGUAAUCUUAACUCCAAGGUUUCUAGCCAGUCAGAAGAAGGAUUUAUUUGUAGGUUUCUCAAUCUCUUACUGGCAAUAAACAAAGUCUGUGGGUCUCCAUGCCCCACAAGAGGUAUAUCAGAAAAACACACAACUAUGGAUUUUACCUUACUAGUUUUCUACAUCAAGGGAUCCUACCUGCUUCUCUUGGCCAUAGGCACAUCCUUAGUUGAGUCCUUUUUGUUUCUAAACACCAUGUCACCACCACCCUGCUUAGCUAUACUCCAGGGCUGUUCCAUUUGACUAUUAGUGAUUUCUGAGUAUGACUGGAAUAAAUUUCCAGAAUUCAACAGACAGAAAGACUAAGGCAGCCAAGUCUUCAGGAAGACCUCUAAUUUUAGGAAAAGAUUAUUCUCCCUCUGAUAGAUUUUAACCACCACUUUAGGCCUACUCUUGGAGGAGAUAAUUUCUAAUUUCCCUUGGAUUGCAAGUUUCAAGAGUACUGGCUCUCCAUGAUACUCCAUAAAAAUCACCAUCAGGGUUUCAUAAACAUGUAGAUCCUAGGCUCCACAGUUAAAGAUCCAAUUCCAUUGAUCUGGAAUGGAGUCCAGGAAACUGGAAGCUGAACAAAUUCCUACAGGGGAUUUGUAAACCAUUUGAAGAAACAUUGGACAGUCCCUUAGGACAAAUGUCUCACUUACCAGAUGAUUUGUAAGUGCUUACUGGUGAAUGAAUAUUAAAAUGCUUACUGUAACCAUUUAUCAUUGCUCUUAGAAAUUAUUAAACAGUAGGAAAGGCCAGUUUGCCACAAAUAUUUUUAAACAACUAGCUAUUUAGCUAAACAUUGACCAUUUUUGCAAUUCUGCAAUCCAAAUAUAUCCUUUAUUUAAAAGUAAAUGCAUCUAAUAUCCACAAACCUAAACAAUAUCUCCAAGAUUUAAUGUAGUCAGUUCAAAGUAUGUGGAAUAACAAUCAGUAGCAGUUAAAAAUAAUGAGCAUGGGGACCACAAAAGACCCCAAAAAGCCAAAGCAAUCUUGAGAAAGAACAAAACUGGAGAUAUCACAACUUCAGGUUUCUGUUUGUUUGUUUUUUAAAUAUUUUAUUUAUUUAUUCAUGAGAGAGAGAGAGAGGCAGAGUCACAGGCAGAGGGAAAAGCAGGCUCCAUGCAGGGAGCCCGACGUGGGACUCAAUCCCGGGUCUCCAGGAUCAAGCCCUGGGCUGAAGGCGGUGCUAAACCUUUGAGCCACCCAGGCUGCCAAAACUUCAGGUUUUAAGUUAUACUACAAAGUAGAGUAGUGAUCAAAACAAUAUGGUACUGUCACAAAAAUAGACAUAAAUCAAUUAAAUAGACUAAAGAACCCAGAAGUGAACCUAUGUUUAUAUGGCCAAUUAAUCUACAACAAAAGAGGCAAGAAUGUGCUAUGAGAAAAAGAGUCUCUUUGAGGAACCUCCACACAGUUUUCCAGAGUGGCUGUACCAGUUCACAUUCCCACCAAUAAAUGGUGCUGGGAAAACUGGACAGCUAUAUGCAAAAAAUAAAACUAGAUUGCUUUCUUACACCAUACACAAAAAUAAACUCAAAAUUGGUUAAGGACCUAAAUGUGAGAUCUAAAAGCAAAAAAAUUCCUAGAAGAAAACACAGGCAGUAGUUCUUUGACAUUGGCCAUAGAAGCAUUUUUUUACAUAUAUCUCCUCUAGCAAGGGAAGUGGGGGGUUAAAAGGUUAAUCUGUGAAAUAGAUAAAGGGGGUUAAGAGGUAAAAAAUUCCAAUUAUAAAAUUAACAAAUCAUGGAGAUGAAAAGUACAGCAUAGAGAAUAUAGUCAAUAAUACUGUUGUAACAUUGUUCCAUGAUAGAUGGUACGACACUUCUCAUGGUCAGCACUAAUUAAUAUAUAGAAUUGUUGAAUCAUUAUUCUAUACAUCUGAAGCUAAUGUAAUACUGUAUUUUAAUUAUACUUCAAUAAAAAUAAUAUUAAUUAAUUAAUGAGCAUGGAGAGAAGAAGUGCAUAGAAUAUUUUUAGAUUGCUGCAAACAACAUGAACUGCUUUACAAGGAUCAACAAAAUCUGAAUUCUAAUCUGAGUGUGAAUGACUUUUUUAAAGAUUUAAUUCAUUUAUUUACUUUAGAGAGACAGGAAGAGAGAAAGAGAGCAC